This 555-nucleotide long non-coding RNA is filed under the name Nicotiana benthamiana. Its description in RNAcentral is "long non-coding RNA (NBEN_LNC013850)". The record is from RNAcentral. Lineage: Eukaryota; Viridiplantae; Streptophyta; Magnoliopsida; Solanales; Solanaceae.
UUUUUUAAUACAUCCUAAUCCGUUUUUUCUUCAUUCUUGUUUCUUCUCCAACUUGUUUUCCUCUUCUCCCCUCUCCUCUUCUGCCCCCAACCUAGUUUAUUUGUCAUUUUUAUUCUCUAUUCUAACCAUAUUAUGUAUGAUCUCCCUCUAUCUCACUCCUCCUCUCCCUCACCCUCUUCAUCUCCCCCGUUCAGUCGGCCCCUAUCCAAUCUCCCCCAAUUAUUUUGUUCUUAAGUUGUUUAACUCAAUUUUAGUGCAGGAAUUCGGCUAUCUCAUCUCCCUCCGGUGAUAGUUCGGCAGCAAAUUAGUUUAUUUUUUAAUUUUUUUUUUUUGCAGUAUAAUAUGUAUAUAGUGAUAUUAAUAAUUUACUUGUUUAGAUUAGUUAUUUGUUUUAUUGUUUAUAUCAAUUUUGUUUGAUACUUGUUUAUAUAAACUCUAGUUUAAAAUUCUUGUAUAAUAAAUGCGUUUUAAUAUUUAUAUUGUUGUGUUUAUUAUGUAUACUUUAUGUUUUCAAAGUUGUUUAUAUUUAAUGUAGUAAAUAUUGAAUUUUGAAUU